Molecule: RNA transcript, 1609 nt
Organism: Cercocebus atys (sooty mangabey)
Lineage: Eukaryota; Metazoa; Chordata; Mammalia; Primates; Cercopithecidae
Gene name: cold shock domain-containing protein E1 pseudogene
Exons: 1
Source: RefSeq, a predicted model, not a curated record
UAAAACGUUGGAUUUACUGAAACAGCCAAUCAUGAUAAGGAAAACUUUUUCCAUUACAGUGAGUUCUCUGGUGAUGUUGAUAGCUUGGAACUGGGGGUCAUGGUCGAGUAUAGCUUGUCCAAAGGCAAAGGCAAUAAAGUCAGUGCAGAAAAAGUAAACAAAACACACUCAGUGAAUGGCAUUACUGAGGAAGCUGAUCCCACCACUUACUCUGGCAAAGUCAUUCGCCCCUGAGGAGUGUUGAUUCAACACAGACUGAGUACCGAGGAAUGAUUGAGAUUGUGGAGGAGGGCGAUAAGAAAGGUGAUGUCUAUCCAUUUGAUGUCGUUGGGAUGGCCAACAAUAGCGAUUGCCUGCAGAAAGGGGAAAGCAUCAAGUUCCAAUUGUGUGUCCUGGGCCAAAAUGCACAAACUAUGGCUUACAACAUCACACCCCUGCAUAGGGCUACAGUGGAAUGUGUGAAAGAUCAGUUUGGCUUCAUUAACUAUGAAGUAGGAGAUAGCCAGAAGCUCUUUUUCUGUGUGAAAGAAGUUCAGGGUGGCAUUGAGCUACAGGCAGGAGAUGAGGUGGAGUUCUCAGUGAUUCUUCAUCAGCGCACUGGCAAGUGCAGCGCCUGUAAUGUUUGGCGAGUCUAUGAGGGCCCCAAGGCUGUUGCAGCUCCUCGACCUGAUUGGUUGGUCAAUUGUUUGAAGAACAUCACUCUGGAUGAUGCCAGUGCUCCUCACCUAAUGGUUCUUCAUCAGCCAAGGGGACCAGAUAACUCAAUGGGGUUUGGUGCAGAAAGAAAGAUCCGUCAAGCUGAUGUCAUUGACUAACCACAUCCACAAAACAUAUCUUUAAUCCACUAUGAUCAAGUUGGGGAGAAUCUGGUGAAGGAUUCUGAAUAUCUCCCUCUUCAUCCCUCCUGAAUCCGGAAUACUUAUUCUAUUGAGCUAUUACACCAGUUUUAACACCUUCCUCGUGUUAUGUUUAAAAAAAAAAUAAAUUUAAGAAAACCAUUUUAAAAUAAUGCACAGUUCAGCCUGGAAAACUUAAGGCGGCGCCUUAUAGUGUCAAUUUUAGGAGCUUUAUUUGGAGCAUUUAACGCAACUGGUCAUUGCAAAAUCCACUUCGCCUGUGUAAGUGAAAAAUAUAGACUGUUACCUUGUUGGCCCUAUGAAAUUCUGCACUUUUCAUUAUAUACUCUACCUUCAUUAAUUACUUCUGGCAAGACAUUCUGCCUUAGCACUCAGUUGCAUUCUUUUUCUUUUUCUUCCUGUUCAUUAUGCUUUAAUUCUGAGGACCAUAUGAGGGUAGAAUAUAAUAUCUUUUAAAAAUUACACAAAUUUGUAUAGGCAAACCAUUUCUUAAAGUUGAUGGCCAAAUCUUAAAAUGUUAUUUUUUUAUAUCAUUUAUAAUUUUGUCACAAUCCACUUAAAGAAGUUUGUUUAUAUUUCAGUGAAAAUUAUCUUCCAGAGUAGGUUUUAUUCUUGAGUUGGGGGGUAACUUUACUACAAUUAGUAAGUAUGGUACAGAAUUUCAUGCAAAUGAGGAGUGCCAACAGUCUGAUAAUUUAAACAUAUUUAAACAAAAACAAAAAAAAUGAAUGCACAAACUUGCUGCUGUUUGG